GUCACAGUGGAGAAUUCCUGACACGUCAUUGCAGAGUCACAAGCAGUGCCUCUCUUUUGUCAUUGAAUGGAGCAAUGUCAACUCUCCCUAUGUCGUUGAACUGAAACAUGAAUCAAGAAAGGUGGGUGUGACCAUCAUCUGUGGCUGAAGAGAUAAGAAGAAACAUCUAUAUUGUCAUGAACAUUCAUGCAUACACACAAAAUUUGUUCUCUGCAUUGAAUGCAUCACAGGAAGGACUGAUCUCUGGAUGGAAAGAAUGUUGAAAAUUUGGAAAAAAACGUUAAAUUGUUUUCAUCAAGCUAAGAAAUCAACAGGUUUGGUAGGCCUCCACCACUCCUUGUGUCUAGAGAACGGUCACACCAGUACUAUUAAUAUGUUAAAUAUUUGUAUACUGUAGUCUGGGAUGAUUGAUGAAAAAGCUACCUCAGAUUGUUAUUAAUAUUAAGGAACACUUGGUAAUACUAUUGUUUUUGUUGACCUGUUUUAAAAUCUUUUACUUCAAGUAGCACAUGCUCUAAAAUACAUAGUACAUUACUUA
This is a long non-coding RNA of Syngnathoides biaculeatus (alligator pipefish), 538 nucleotides long. RefSeq lists it as uncharacterized. The record is from RefSeq and is a predicted model, not a curated record. NCBI's taxonomy places the organism in Eukaryota, Metazoa, Chordata, Actinopteri, Syngnathiformes, Syngnathidae. The transcript has 2 exons.